UUUCUAAUAAUUUAUUGUUAGAAAUUGCAAGUGUAAUGAGAUUGGAACUUAGGACGUGUGCGUACCUAUACGUGAAUUUAACAAGAGGAUAAUGAUUGAUGUGAUGUGAUGUGAUGUUCGAAAUCGAAAAUGGUAGGAAAGCCCUUACCUUGAUUGAAAGAACUGCACUGCUUAAUUGAAGCACUAAGAAUGGCUAUCGAUGGCUAUUAGGCUUUGAAGCGAUCUAAUUAUAGAGUAUUUUGCCAAAAACUACAUAAUGACCAUUGUCUGAUGCCAUGAAAUGACCAUACAUUUUAGAAAUUGUACUAAUUGUCAAAUGUCAGAAUAAUUUAGAAGUCAUGUGUCAAGCAUUUGCCAAU
Molecule: long non-coding RNA, 359 nt
Organism: Dendroctonus ponderosae (mountain pine beetle)
Lineage: Eukaryota; Metazoa; Arthropoda; Insecta; Coleoptera; Curculionidae
Exons: 2
Source: RefSeq, a predicted model, not a curated record